This 937-nucleotide ribosomal RNA is filed under the name Agaricus romagnesii. RNAcentral describes it as "LSU rRNA". It matches the Rfam family "Eukaryotic large subunit ribosomal RNA", at positions 38 to 958 of the family's 3401-position model. The record is from RNAcentral. Lineage: Eukaryota; Fungi; Basidiomycota; Agaricomycetes; Agaricales; Agaricaceae.
GCAUAUCAAUAAGCGGAGGAAAAGAAACUAACAAGGAUUCCCCUAGUAACUGCGAGUGAAGCGGGAAAAGCUCAAAUUUAAAAUCUGGCGGUCUUUGGCCGUCCGAGUUGUAAUCUAGAGAAGUAAUGCCCGUGCUGGACCGUGUAUAAGUCUCCUGGGAUGGGGCGUCAUAGAGGGUGAGAAUCCCGUCUUUGACACGGACUACCAGUGCAUUGUGGUAUGCUCUCAAAGAGUCGAGUUGUUUGGGAAUGCAGCUCAAAAUGGGUGGUAAAUUCCAUCUAAAGCUAAAUAUUGGCGAGAGACCGAUAGCGAACAAGUACCGUGAGGGAAAGAUGAAAAGAACUUUGGAAAGAGAGUUAAACAGUACGUGAAAUUGCUGAAAGGGAAACGCUUGAAGUCAGUCGCAUUGGCCAGGGAUCAGCCUUGCUUUUGCAUGGUGUACUUUCUGGUUAAUGGGUCAGCAUCAAUUUUGACCACUGGAAAAGGCUCAAGGGAAUGUGGCAGCUUCGGCUGUGUUAUAGCCCCUGUUCACAUACAGUGGUUGGGAUUGAGGAACUCAGCACGCCGCAAGGCCGGGUUUCGACCACGUUCGUGCUUAGGAUGCUGGCAUAAUGGCUUUAAGCGACCCGUCUUGAAACACGGACCAAGGAGUCUAACAUGCCUGCGAGUAUUUGGGGUGGAAAAACCCAAGUGCGCAAUGAAAGUGAAAAGUUGAGAUCCCUGUCGUGGGGGAGCAUCGACGCCCGGACCAGAACUUUUGGGACGGAUCCGCGGUGGAGCAUGUAUGUUGGGACCCGAAAGAUGGUGAACUAUGCCUGAAUAGGGUGAAGCCAGAGGAAACUCUGGUGGAGGCUCGUAGCGAUUCUGACGUGCAAAUCGAUCGUCAAAUUUGGGUAUAGGGGCGAAAGACUAAUCGAACCAUCUAGUAGCUGGUCUG